AGAGUUUGAUCCUGGCUCAGAUUGAACGCUGGCGGCAUGCCUAACACAUGCAAGUCGAACGGCAGCACAGCAGUAGCAAUACUGUGGGUGGCGAGUGGCGGACGGGUGAGUAAUGCAUCGGGACCUACCUGAACGUGGGGGAUAACGUAGGGAAACUUACGCUAAUACCGCAUACGUCCUACGGGAGAAAGCGGGGGACCUUCGGGCCUCGCGCGGUCAGACGGACCGAUGUUCGAUUAGCUAGUUGGUAAGGUAACGGCUUACCAAGGCGACGAUCGAUAGCUGGUCUGAGAGGAUGAUCAGCCACACUGGAACUGAGACACGGUCCAGACUCCUACGGGAGGCAGCAGUGGGGAAUAUUGGACAAUGGGCGCAAGCCUGAUCCAGCAAUGCCGCGUGUGUGAAGAAGGCCUUCGGGUUGUAAAGCACUUUUAUCAGG
This 439-nucleotide ribosomal RNA is filed under the name uncultured bacterium. Its description in RNAcentral is "bacterial SSU rRNA". It matches the Rfam family "Bacterial small subunit ribosomal RNA", at positions 8 to 443 of the family's 1533-position model. The record is from RNAcentral.